This 499-nucleotide unclassified non-coding RNA is filed under the name uncultured Glomus. RNAcentral's name for it is "SSU rRNA". It matches the Rfam family "Eukaryotic small subunit ribosomal RNA", at positions 591 to 1092 of the family's 1831-position model. The record is from RNAcentral. Lineage: Eukaryota; Fungi; Glomeromycota; Glomeromycetes; Glomerales; Glomeraceae.
CCAAUAGCGUAUAUUAAAGUUGUUGCAGUUAAAAAGCUCGUAGUUGAAUUUCGGGAUCGAAUUGUUGGUCGUGCUUCGGUACGCACUGGCAUUAUUGGUUCCUACCUUCUGAAGAACCGCGAUGUCAUUAAUUUGGUGUCGUGGGGAAUCAGGACUGUUACUUUGAAAAAAUUAGAGUGUUUAAAGCAGGCUUACGCUUGAAUACAUUAGCAUGGAAUAAUGAAAUAGGACGUUUGAUUCUAUUUUGUUGGUUUCUAGGAUCGACGUAAUGAUUAAUAGGGAUAGUUGGGGGCAUUAGUAUUCAAUUGUCAGAGGUGAAAUUCUCGGAUUUAUUGAAGACUAACUACUGCGAAAGCAUUUGCCAAGGAUGUUUUCAUUAAUCAAGAACGAAAGUUAGGGGAUCGAAGACGAUCAGAUACCGUCGUAGUCUUAACCAUAAACUAUGCCGACUAGGGAUCGGAUGAUGUUAAUUUUAUAAUGACUCAUUCGGCGCCUUACG